Non-coding RNA from Corynascus novoguineensis, 84 nucleotides. The record is from the annotation of a GenBank genome assembly. NCBI's taxonomy places the organism in Eukaryota, Fungi, Ascomycota, Sordariomycetes, Sordariales, Chaetomiaceae.
GCCCGGCUAGCUCAAUCGGUAGAGCGUGAGACUCUUAAAUCUCAGGUUAUCUCAAGGUUGUGGGUUCGACCCCCACGUCGGGCU